Molecule: long non-coding RNA, 3282 nt
Organism: Dermacentor silvarum
Lineage: Eukaryota; Metazoa; Arthropoda; Arachnida; Ixodida; Ixodidae
Exons: 2
Source: RefSeq, a predicted model, not a curated record
AUUUCAUUGCCUUGAGGAUGUAUCAGCGUCCAGUUCAUACGUCACAAAGUAAAAAUGUGCCUCGUGCCUAUGGUUUUGGAUUGUGGCUACGGAGCCGUGGCGGAGGUGUCCUUCUGGUGAUCACAUUCUCAGGGAUUCCCAGCCCACCACUGGGAACAGUGUUCCGAGAUUCUGAUGAUCAUGAGUGCCCAUAGUGAGAGAUCCAUAUCUAGCUAGAAGCACUUGAGCUGUGCUACAAACUUAGUCUGGAGCCGUGCCUAUUGUGCCCUUUGUGUGGUUGCUUUUAAAGUCAUCCCCACAAUUUCUUAUUUUUUCUUGUAGGCACCUUUUUGUUUCAAGUUGCUUGUCUUGUGAAUUGCCUCUAUGUUGCCAAGCUCUAUUACUUUUUCAGUCAUCAUUUCGAUGUUAAAAAUACAUUCACAUUCCUCGUGAGCCUGUCAGGUUUCUUCAAGUUAUCACUUGUGUAGGAUUCCCUCAUAUUGACCAUUUAUUGAAAGAAGUAAUGCAAUGUGAAGAAUAAAUAAGACAGUUCCUUAGCAUCUACUUAUGCGACACGCAAAUUGUAGGUGCUGGUGGGUACAUUCAGAGACUGUUGAUAUUUUGACAUUCCCAUAUCCUGUGCUCAUGGUGCCUUGAAUGUACAUGUGCUUUUCUAGGCAUGAUGCCAGUGUUUUGCUUGUGGUGCAGUGAUGUUAGGAACUCGGGCCAGCCAGGAAACAUGGCACUUUACUGUGUGUGUACCACCUUCACUUUGCACACAAUUAACAGAGCAUAAUAUUCACUCAUUGUAUAUUAGACAUACACCUCACUUGAUGAAACAGAACUUUAGUUUCCCUUUAAUGAACUACUUCGAUUCCCUGGCAUAUAUCUAUAGAAUCAAAGCUUUGAAAACCUUGGAAGGAACAAAACACAAUAUCUUACCAGUUAACACGGAGAAAAAGAAAUUGGUUUUCUGGAUACCUGUAGUGUUCAAAAUGCAAUGUUUUGCUAGAGCAUUUCAGUGCCACUUGAGGCGUACCGCUUUCUUUUUACAAAACUUUAUGCUGCCAGGGCCCUGGCAUUGCACGCUUUGAUUAGGUUCUGCCAUAUAGUGCCAGCAGCCCAGUUUACAUGGCUGUUGACUGUAGCAUUGAUUUUGGUCAACUACUCCUGAUUUGAUGAAAUAACCGUCUAGUGACGGCAACGUCAUUAAAUCAAACUAACUGUAUGUAAUAAUUUAUGAUCACUAACCGUUUUGCUGAAGGUGGCUGUUUUCACUUACAGCUGAUAUGAGCUUAGAGCCCGCAUCUUUUAUUCAAUGGCCCUUUGCCAUAUAAAUCACACUUCGGGCAGAGUUCACUGUGCAUGCAUGCCUUAGCUUGCAAUUUCUUGAAGGCUGUCAACGUGCUAAGCUGUUGCACUGCCAUGUAAGCCACAGUGCAUGAAAUUAUUAGGUUACAGAAUUCAUAAACGUGGGGAAGCUCGACUAAGCGGCACGUUCUUCCUUUAUGCCUUUUUUUCACACUUUAAUGAAGCAUCAUGUUUCCACAACUGUCUGGUAGUAUCUAAUUAUUAGAAGGCUAGAUGUAAAACAAGUUGCAAUGUGUGAAGAAUGCCUGUUUUACUUCUUUUAAUGCAAUAUACAGCACUACAUGACAGAUGCAGGAACUUAGUACAGUCAUUGACUCAGGGCUGCGACGUCUGUGUGAUCUUUUUGGUAAAUGUAGUAGCUCACAAAUGCUUUUAUCAAGACAUGGCACCUCACAUUGUGAUAUACAAAACUUAGUUGCUUGGCUAUGGCUUUGGUGUUCAACACAGUCCACAGAAAUUCCUUACCGGAGGAAACCAGCAUGCAUGUAGUCAUGGCUACUCCACAAAAGGAAAAUAAUAUUCAGGCUCAGUCAUUUUACAAGGCAUACAAUUGUAGGACACAUCAUCGUGUGGUUGCACCUCCUAGGCUCAUGCAUUGCCUUGGAAGUUUGCAUGACACUAAUGAUGAAAUUUUUUUUCCCCUCCUCUUUUAACUUCUACGUAUGGGUGGGUUUCUUAAUUUGUCUAAAUCUUUUAAGGAGGAGAUAAGGUUGGAUCACAAGUAUGCCAUUUUAUAGUGUUGGUUGUGAUUUGGUCUUUCAGAAAUGAGUUAUUUAUCCUGGCACUCCUCCUAAUUUUGAAGGUAGUUUCAUAAGAUGAAGACUGCUCUAUUAACAUGUGGAGAAUGCUGCAAAUUAAUGUAGAGGUACUGUUCAGUAUUAGAUGUUUAUUAAGUGCAUAGCAUGUUGACUCUUAUUUACAUAUGACAUGGUUGAUAAUCAUUUGCUGUAAUUCGUCCCCAUUGUUGCUGAAUAGGACAAUGUCAUCUGCAAGCCAAAUGUUGCUGAGAUAUUCACCGUUGAUUCUCACUCCUAAGCAUUACCAAAUCUUGACUGAGAGAUUACCACUGUCGUUGAAAAUAAAAGUGUACGAUCAUUGCAUUCUACCAGUGCUAACAUAUGAGGCAGAAACUUGGAGAUUAACAAAUAAGCUCGAGAACAAGUCAAGGACCACACAAAGAACGAUGGAACGAAAAAUGUUAGGCUUAACGUUAAGAGACAGGAAGAGAGCGGUGUGGAUCAGAGAACAAACGGGGAUAGCCGAUAUUCUAGUUGACAUUAAGCGGAAAAAGUGGAGCUGGGCAGGCCAUGUAAUGCGUAGGAUGGAUAACCGGUGGACAUUAGAGUUACAGAAUGGAUACCAAGAGAAGGGAAGCGCAGUCGAGGAUGGCAGAAAACUAGGUGGGGUGAUGAAGUUAGGAAGUUCGCAGGCGCAAGUUGGAAUCGGCUAGUGCAAGACAGGGGUAAUUGGAAAUCGCAGGGAGAGGCCUUCGUCCUGCAGUGGACAUAAAUAUAGGCUGAUGAUGAUGAUGACAUGGUUGAUGGCUUACUGAAAGCGCACUGUGCCCGCAUUCCUGCUUUAGUUCUAGUGUGAAAUUAACCACAGUGUAAAAUUGGAGUUGCUCUUGUGCUGUGUAUCACUUUGCACUGUUCAUUCCCCUAUUUAUGCCUUCAUGAAAUACCUCACAUGUGUGGCUGGCUAAGUGUAGUGAAUUUGUCCAAAUGCUAUGCAAAGAAGGUGUCAAAGUGUUUGUGAAAGGCCUUUUAGUAAUUUCCUAGUGAUUGCUUUACAAAUUGUGCAUACUAACAGCUAAGACAGUCAUUGCAGAAUGUGGAGGUCAAUGAUAGCCAUCAUGACUAAAAACAGGACCAAUCAAAGUGUAGAAGGGUGUUGUGACAUGUACCUGCUUUAAAUAAAUUGUGCUGCACCAUG